This 40-nucleotide transfer RNA is filed under the name Proctoporus pachyurus. RNAcentral describes it as "partial tRNA-Leu". Lineage: Eukaryota; Metazoa; Chordata; Lepidosauria; Squamata; Gymnophthalmidae. The record is from RNAcentral.
CUUUUAAAGGAAACAAGCACUCCACUGGUCUUAGGAGCCA